CCAGACUCCUACGGGAGGCAGCAGUGGGGAAUAUUGCACAAUGGGGGAAACCCUGAUGCAGCGACGCCGCGUGGGCGAGGAAGUACCUCGGUAUGUAAAGCCCUAUCAGCAGGGAAGAAACAGGACAGUACCUGACUAAGAAGCCCCGGCUAACUACGUGCCAGCAGCCGCGGUAAUACGUAGGGGGCAAGCGUUAUCCGGAUUUACUGGGUGUAAAGGGUGCGUAGGUGGCAGGGCAAGUCAGAUGUGAAAGCCCGGGGCCCAACCCCGGUACUGCAUUUGAAACUGUCCGGCUGGAGUGCAGGAGAGGUAAGCGGAAUUCCUAGUGUAGCGGUGAAAUGCGUAGAUAUUAGGAGGAACACCAGUGGCGAAGGCGGCUUACUGGACUGUAACUGACACUGAGGCACGAAAGCGUGGGGAGCAAACAGGAUUAGAUACCCCCGUA
This 445-nucleotide ribosomal RNA is filed under the name uncultured bacterium. RNAcentral describes it as "bacterial SSU rRNA". It matches the Rfam family "Bacterial small subunit ribosomal RNA", at positions 331 to 792 of the family's 1533-position model. The record is from RNAcentral.